RNAcentral lists this long non-coding RNA (265 nucleotides) under Hordeum vulgare. RNAcentral's name for it is "long non-coding RNA (HVUL_LNC012475)". Lineage: Eukaryota; Viridiplantae; Streptophyta; Magnoliopsida; Poales; Poaceae. The record is from RNAcentral.
CUCUCUUGAUCGCUUUGAGGUGAUGUGGCGCCAGGUCCCAGCCCCCGAGCACGGGAGCACGGGUGUCCGAAGCAUUACUCUCGGGGACUCGCGCCUAUGGGGCAGCUCGUGUGGCCUACCUCGCGAGGCUCCGCAUGUGAAGUCCCGUGGAGAGAAAAUCACCAAGCCUUGAUGGCGCGUGCAUGCUCGACUGCAUUUGGGCAUCCCCACUUGCAUAUGUGUGUGGCGAGAGUACAAAAUCCAAAAGAGCUUCAGAAAAACCAGA